Molecule: transfer RNA, 83 nt
Organism: Caenorhabditis briggsae
Lineage: Eukaryota; Metazoa; Nematoda; Chromadorea; Rhabditida; Rhabditidae
Rfam family: tRNA
About the family: Transfer RNA (tRNA) molecules are approximately 80 nucleotides in length.
Source: Rfam
GCAGUGGUGGCCGAGAGGUUAAGGUGUUGGAUUCCCGAUCCAAUUGNGGUAACACAGCGUGGAUUNGAAUCCCAUCCACUGCA